This 413-nucleotide ribosomal RNA is filed under the name Elaphe dione (Steppes ratsnake). Its description in RNAcentral is "partial 12S ribosomal RNA". The record is from RNAcentral. Lineage: Eukaryota; Metazoa; Chordata; Lepidosauria; Squamata; Colubridae.
CAAUUAAAUUACCAAUUGUUCGCCAAAUAACUACGAGUAAAAACUUAAAAUUUAAAAGACUUGACGGUGCCUCAAAACAACCUAGAGGAGCCUGUCUAAUAACCGAUACCCCACGAUUAACCCAACCCACCCUAGCCUGACAGUCUAUAUACCGCCGUCGCCAGCCUACCUUGUGAAAGAAACAAAGUGAGCUUAAUAGUUAUACACUAACACGACAGGUCGAGGUGUAACUAAUGGGUGGGCUCAAGAUGGGCUACAUUUUCUAAAUCAGAAAAUACGAAUUAACCUAUGAAAAAGAAACUGAAGGCGGAUUUAGCAGUAUGUUAGGAACAACAAACCUAACAGAAAUCAGCGCAAUGAGGUGCGUACACACCGCCCGUCAUCCCUGCCAACCACAACUAAACAUACAUAAA